UCUGCCCUUGCUGCCUGCAAACCAGUGCUCACCUCUUGCGGUCCACCGACAACACGGACUUCUACCCUGCCGGACCGGUCGUCGUUGGAACCGUGCCAAUCCCGGAUUUAGUUCUCGGAGUUCCUUUGUUCGCUUCCAAGCUGCAAAAAACCUUUAUUCACAAACUCACCUCCCUGUCCUCUCUCAUCUGGGUCCAACUUGCAACCUGAAUCCUGACAGCAUAGUCUGGCCUGUCAUGGAUCCAGCGGAGAUGGAAACCCUUCGCCAAACUGUUACCGGACAGAUCAUGCUUUUGGAGCAAAACGACCAAGCCCUCACCCUGCUGAUUCAAAAGCCAUGAGGCCAAAGACUUAGGACUCAUGACUGGCGUACAUCUGGCGCGACACGUGGCGUAACUCUGCGCGGAGGCGGCUGAGACUUGGUGUUGAUCAUUUCUUGGACCAGCGCACCCCAACACAUCUAAAAGAGGGAAGUCUGUGCUGUUGCGGAUCACAGUGACGAAACCCACCCAACCUUCACUCCGCCGGGCUGCCAUCGUCUACAAAACUACCAACACCUGUCUAACCUGCCUCUGGCGCACAGUUGUACCGCCCACCAUACCGGAUUUACACAGUUCACAAAAAUAGGGCUCACUUUCUUUAACUUGGCACUGUGUCACCCUAUGGGGCAAAUUGCUCACAAGAACAUCUUUUGGAUGAAUCCAAGGAGGUGUAGCCUGGCGUGAAAGCUCUUCUUACAUACACUGAAUCCCUCUGUCCUCUUUGUCACUUGCAUGCCAGGUUGAGAAUGGGGUCGCAAGGGCAAGAUCUGUACACCCCUUCAACUGGGUGAGGCCAAUCAUGUGGGUUAGAAGGGCACCUCAGAGAUGACAAAGAGGUUAGAGGGCCCCUAGAAUGAGGCAGUGUGAUUGUCUGCAUGUUCCUCUGCUAUAAGAAAGGGCCAAGGGUCCCCAUCUGCCACGUGGUACUACCAGGGUGUGAUCAUUUAGGGGCGAAACACAGCUAGGCAGACAUACACACAAGAGGUGAGUAUGUGUCUCGUGUAUAUGUUCUUGUACAACCCAACAAACACACAUGCUUACAAAAUGACAUACACACAUGCUCGUGCAAGAUCUAUCCCAGAACCUCCUCUCCAGUGCCAGUGUUCAACAAUUCAACCCUCCAACCUUGGGGUGAAGCCCCUGCCAGUUCACCUGCCAGGACUGGACAAGCAGAGCACUUAGUGCCUCACGAAGGCCAAUCUCACCCCCGGCCCUCCACACCCACUGUGUUGGGGUCAAGGAGGCUUCACCCACGCUCGUGUUCGCUCUCUGCCAAGUAAUGCUAAUGAUGUCGCCCAUGUUGAAGACACGACAGCACG
Phyllopteryx taeniolatus (common seadragon) is the source of this 1359-nucleotide long non-coding RNA. RefSeq lists it as uncharacterized. The transcript has 3 exons. The record is from RefSeq and is a predicted model, not a curated record. Lineage: Eukaryota; Metazoa; Chordata; Actinopteri; Syngnathiformes; Syngnathidae.